Molecule: long non-coding RNA, 1763 nt
Organism: Mesocricetus auratus (golden hamster)
Lineage: Eukaryota; Metazoa; Chordata; Mammalia; Rodentia; Cricetidae
Exons: 4
Source: RefSeq, a predicted model, not a curated record
AAAUAGUACCUGCUCCAGUGUGCACAUGCGCCCUGUUACACUGACUAUAAAUAAGGAUAUCAGGGGCAGAGAAGUAAACAGUCUAGAAUGCUUCUGUUGGGGGAGCGAGCCCUGUCGGCGGACUGAGGCUGUUGCUCCUGGGGGUGCUUGAUUGAGCUCUAGAAGAAUGUGUCUCUUCUGUUGGGACCCCUUCACAGGACUGUUGGAUUGCCUGGGAUAAAGCCGAGGCUAAUUUGAAACGAGAAAAUUGCUAUAAAAGGUUCGGCACCUGGGCUUUUGGGGAGAAGAGUAAAGAUGGCCUUGAGUGAAACAACUGGUAACAAAAGCUAGUCCAACCUGGGAGAAACCUGGAAAGAGGACGCUGCCCGGGACCCAGGCACAGGAGGUUUUCACGUUUCACCGAAGAAAACCGAUUAACCUCACAGCUUAGCUACUCUGGCAAUGCAGAGGAACUGUACUAACCCUUGGAGCAGAUGCCCAGCUAGAGCCUUGAGGAACUGUUUCGGGAGGGUAGUAACUAAUUUCUUUGGAUUACUCUGGAAUAUUUUGGAAGUGAAUGGAUUUCCUGCGGUUACACAGGAUGAAGCAUGAAGUGAGGGCUUAGAUUUCCCCACAGGCAGUUUUUGCUGUCAUUUCCAGCCAUUUCUGAGAUGGACUUCGAAUCCGUCACUUGGGAGUGAUGGGGGCCCUGCCUAAGGCUGGCGAGAGGCGAGACACAGCACCAGGCACAGCUCCACAGCUGGAUCUGUGACAUACCCAAGGUGCCAGCCCAGCAGAGACCUGCCCAGAGGCUGGGGCAAGAAAAGCAGAAGCCUGUGCACUGUCUCCUAGCAACAGAUGUUUUACCAUCUUAUUGUGGGACUGCUCAUAAGCGAUAAUUGUUCUGCUGCUCACAAUCCCUCCAGUAACAACCAGAAAAGGGUCACAGUCAAAGCAGACAUAACCAUCACCUUCAUUCCGGUGUGUGGAUCAGAAGAGAAGGUGAUCCCAAGACCCAGAGCACUCUGGAGAGAGAAUUCUAGUGUUUCCCUAGAAAGUCACCGCCACCUGCCCUGCCGCCUUCAAAUCCUUGGGGCCAUCUGUGGCUCCCUUUUCUUUCCUCCUCCUCCCUCCUCUCCUCUUCUUUGUUUUGUUUUGUGACCAUGCUGGUUCUGAUUCUGAACUUAGUGUCUUCCUCCUGCCUCUGCCUCCCAAGUGCUGGGGUCAUAGGAUUGUGUCAAUUACACCAGUUCCCCACUCCAUUUCCCUCUCAUUCCUGAUUCUCUCUUUUUUUCUCCCCAGUCUUUUAUUACCUUUCUUUCUUAAUACCUAUAUUAUUAUUAUUAUUAUUUUGGUUUUUCGAGACAGGGUUUCUCUAUAUUGUUUUGGAGGCUGUCCUGGAACUCUCUCUGUAGACCAGGCUAGCCUCGAACUCGCAGAGAUUAAUACCUAUCUCUUAAACAUUACCUUUCCCCUCUUCCUUCCUAUCUAUGGUGGUUCAACUGAGAAGGCCUCACAGGCUCCUAUGUUUGAACACUUGGCCCCAAGUUGGUGGAACUGUUUGGGAAGGGUUAGGAGGUGUGGCCUUGCUGGAGGAGGUGUGCCACACAGGUGUCAGUCUUUGAGGUUUCAAAAGACUAGUGCCAUUCCCAGCACACCCUUUCUCUGUCUCCUGCAUAUGGAUCAAGAUGUGAGCUUGCAAGUUGUUCCUGUCACCAUGUUUUUUUUUCCACCAUCAGGAACUCUAACCCUCUACAAACCCAAUUAAAUUCUUUCUUUCCUAA